AGGAGACGCGUGAGCUCAAAAAACACAUCAGCUCAUUGAAAAAAAAAGGUUACGAGGACACACGCGCCGGUCGCCGGAGCGAGCGGGCGUGCGUCUCCGGCAGGCUGCGCCGUAAGGCCUUCAGCAGUUCCGGAUACCUUCAUAAUAUAUCUAGGGGUUCCCGUCAACUCGCGACCGUUCCUCUACGGAGCAGGCGGCACCCGAUUCCGUGGUCGGAGGGGCUCUCGAUCUCGCGGCCGGCGGGGAUCAUCGUGCAAGAUGCGCAAGUCGGCGUUGGUGGCGAUGUGCCGCCUCUUCCACAGUUCGGUCUAUAAUCACUGAGUCACCCUCUCCCUCUGCGAAUCGAUCCCCGAAUUCUGGCGCACGACGCCUGCAACUGAAGAGAAAGGCUUUGAAUGUCACUGAAGGCGAGUAAAGACUGACAGACAAUAAUAAGAUUUGGUUGAAGACAUACAACAGAGGUGGAGGUUACCAUGGAGAUGGCGGAGGAAGAGAAGUCGGCACGAGGAACUCUUGCAACCUAUGGGGUGACACAGUGCGGUAGAGGGUCUUUGGUGUGUCUACUUCAGCGUGGAGGACGUCAAGCUUUGUCACGGUGCUUCAUCUUUGGGACAUAAAAAAAUUUGUAAUAGAAAAAGUGCAUUUGCACACCGUGUCGGUGUGCACCUGUGGGGUUGUGACACAUGUCAAGCUUAUGGCCUCGGUAAUCUCCCUCUCUAAGAUAGGGGCCCAUAGGUUGCGGCUUGCAUCUGCGUCACGGUUACCGGUUGUUGAUUUACAUUUUGAGACUGCUGAACAGCCUUGCCGGCUGGUGAAUGCUCUGCCCGGGAACCAGAUUAUAAACAGGUUCAGCGUUUCA
Molecule: long non-coding RNA, 859 nt
Organism: Lolium perenne
Lineage: Eukaryota; Viridiplantae; Streptophyta; Magnoliopsida; Poales; Poaceae
Source: RefSeq, a predicted model, not a curated record